Molecule: ribosomal RNA, 292 nt
Filed under: uncultured Pseudomonas sp.
Lineage: Bacteria; Pseudomonadati; Pseudomonadota; Gammaproteobacteria; Pseudomonadales; Pseudomonadaceae
Description: partial 16S ribosomal RNA
Rfam family: Bacterial small subunit ribosomal RNA
Source: RNAcentral
GCAACGAGCGCAACCCUUGUCCUUAGUUACCAGCACGUUAUGGUGGGCACUCUAAGGAGACUGCCGGUGACAACCGGAGGAAGGUGGGGAUGACGUCAAGUCAUCAUGGCCCUUACGGCCUGGGCUACACACGUGCUACAAUGGUCGGUACAAAGGGUUGCCAAGCCGCGAGGUGGAGCUAAUCCCAUAAACCGAUCGUAGUCCGGAUCGCAGUCUGCAACUCGACUGCGUGAAGUCGGAAUCGCUAGUAAUCGUGAAUCAGAAUGUCACGGUGAAUACGUUCCCGGGCCUU